RNAcentral lists this transfer RNA (85 nucleotides) under Oscillospiraceae bacterium. RNAcentral describes it as "tRNA-Leu". It matches the Rfam family "tRNA". Rfam says of the family: Transfer RNA (tRNA) molecules are approximately 80 nucleotides in length. Lineage: Bacteria; Bacillati; Bacillota; Clostridia; Eubacteriales; Oscillospiraceae. The record is from RNAcentral.
GCAGGCGUGGCGGAAUUGGCAGACGCGCUGGAUUUAGGUUCCAGUGCCGCGAGGCGUAUGAGUUCAAAUCUCUUCGCCUGCACCA